RNAcentral lists this transfer RNA (58 nucleotides) under Rodentolepis nana. Its description in RNAcentral is "Hymenolepis nana tRNA". It matches the Rfam family "tRNA", at positions 15 to 71 of the family's 71-position model. From Rfam's summary of the family: Transfer RNA (tRNA) molecules are approximately 80 nucleotides in length. Their secondary structure includes four short double-helical elements and three loops (D, anti-codon, and T loops). Lineage: Eukaryota; Metazoa; Platyhelminthes; Cestoda; Cyclophyllidea; Hymenolepididae. The record is from Rfam by way of RNAcentral.
UUGGGAGAGCGUUAGACUGAAGACCUAAAGGUCCCUGGUUCGAUCCCGGGUCACGGCA